GUGAAUCAUCGAAUCUUUGAACGCACAUUGCACUCCCUGGUAUUCCGGGGAGUAUGCCUGUUUGAGGGUCGUUAGAACCAAAAUCGAUGUGUCGCUUUUUUUUUAUAUGGGUGAUCGCGUCGGUAUUGAGCCGUCUUUCAACUGUUAUUUCUUGUCAAUGUGUCUUUAAAUUAAUCCAUCCGGUACGAUUAAAGUGUUUUUAAGAUCCACUUUGAUUAAGAAAGCGCGAUGUAUGUACACUCG
This 243-nucleotide unclassified non-coding RNA is filed under the name Glomeraceae sp. RNAcentral's name for it is "partial contains 5.8S ribosomal RNA and internal transcribed spacer 2". The stretch from base 1 to 71 matches the Rfam family "5.8S ribosomal RNA", at positions 84 to 154 of the family's 154-position model. Lineage: Eukaryota; Fungi; Glomeromycota; Glomeromycetes; Glomerales; Glomeraceae. The record is from RNAcentral.